CCUCAGGAUCCUUAUGUCUGACCAUCAUCUUGAGCCAGAAACUGUGUGAACGGUGACCAACGGGCUGCUUCUGGUGUGUCCUAUUAAACUGGAAUGAUCUGUUAAUGUUGGUUCUCCCUGACAACAGAAAGAAUUAUAUUUUGGUCAUCUGUGCAUCUAUGCUCCUUCUUCCUCCCUAACUUGUGGGAAGUGAUUCCCUCAGUUAUUGAGCUACUGCUGUGGGCCAGGAGGCUGGCCAGGAACCAGGCAUGGAGAGAUGGCAAUGGCACAGAAUCUGUCCCUGAUAAACACAGAAGGCUAAAGAUCCAGUAACAGAUUCUUUCUUCCAAGGCCAAUCCAAGCCAUUGGAGUCUGCUCGCUUUGAAGCCAGAGCACUGAGAUUUGGCAGCCUUUAUCCAUGAACACUGCUGUGUCCCAAACUCUAACCCUACAAGAAGGGAAUUUUGAU
Molecule: long non-coding RNA, 448 nt
Organism: Ochotona princeps (American pika)
Lineage: Eukaryota; Metazoa; Chordata; Mammalia; Lagomorpha; Ochotonidae
Exons: 4
Source: RefSeq, a predicted model, not a curated record